Orbicella faveolata is the source of this 4130-nucleotide unclassified non-coding RNA. Lineage: Eukaryota; Metazoa; Cnidaria; Anthozoa; Scleractinia; Merulinidae. The record is from RefSeq and is a predicted model, not a curated record.
GCGCGCGCAGAUUACUUGAACUUUUGUCCUCAGCGCGCGUGCGAUCGUAACCUAUAGGGAGCCACCUUAAGAUGUGCAUUUUCGCAAAGCACGGGGACGUCAAUAAUUCGAACCUUGUCAUGACGAAACUUUUUACGUUCACGAGUGGCCAUUGAUAUAUCGACUUACUUCUGAUUUAUACCUUUCUUCUUCCGAGAAGUACAUUGCUUUACAUCAUUAGCCCUUUAUGUUUCUAUUUAACACUUACUGAUGCUUUAUUUGGCCUUGAAAUAUCAGAUCUUAGACCUUCUUUUCUGAUACAACAUAUGCAUUAUACAUAUACCUUCAAUCCCAAUUUCUAUUAUUUAUUAAUACUUGCUUAAUUUACUUUAAACCUUGAAACUUGGCCACAACUCUUUUUUAAUUGAUCGUUUUUGCCGGACCUUUAGAGUGAUGUAAGCGAACUUUGCCGCUUAUAUAAGAAAGCAACAGAGCGGAAGGUCAGUGGAACCAUUCAUGCUGUUGUACUGCAUGUAACAACCAGUUCAAAUCAUGCAGGGUAUACAAACUUUAUAAAUGGUACUGCUUGAAGUGAUAACUUUUCACAAGAUAUUGCCCUCACAGUUAGCAUAAAGGCCUCAUACAGAAUAAUUUAUUCAUACAGAAUAUUCUUACUCGCAUUUACAGUAUAUUAAAAGCCUCUUGAAGAAAAGACUAAUCAUAUAAGAUUAAUCUAGAUUCACCUUUGCUUCAGUCUAGUCGGCAUAAACCUUACAGGCAUUAAUUUGAACUUAGCAGUUUCAAUCCUCUUUUUACGACGGAGUAAUCCACAUGCAUAGUUCGUUAUAAUAUUAUUACAAUGUCACUAAGGUAACCAGGUUAAACAUAAUAAGCCAGGGGUGAUGUCUUGAUGCACGAAAGAACAAAUUAUACAGACUUCUGUGACGAUACUAGGCACUACAGUGACAGCUUUGACCACACAUUACCACUGCAACCAGCACAGAUUAUGCCAGCCAAAUCUCCCUUGCCUCCUUCAUGAAACGAGUGGCCAUUUUAUGACUCUUACUUAAUUCAAUUCAACCAUUAAUUAAGAUCUUAAUGCAAAAAUAAGUGAUAUCAAACGGUUCGAAUAGGUAGCUACAAUAGGUAAAACAAACCAGGCUCAUGAUGUCUUGCUGUACGCAGUACCAAUUUCUCUUAUUCAAGCAUUCGAGUGAGGGUUCGUGAACUGAACUUCGAGGGGAGAUGUUAAUGUUAUGGUGGUAAGCUACAUGUGCAGGAAAAAACUGAUUCAUUUCAUUUUGGAGGCGGGGAAAAUCCGCCGAGUUCGCUUCGCCAAAAUACACUUUGUUAUCAAGCCAGGUCAGUUCAAAAACGACAAGCCUCUGUACUUGUCUUUGUUUUGGCGAAUUUCUAGAAAAUUCUUAUGAGGGAAUUGCUUAUCAAUAUUAUUCAGUAAGAACUGUGUUGAAAGUUCCUUAUGCUUGCAACAGACAGGCGUAACUGAUACUGUCCGAUAUUUGUACGGAAGAAUGUAUUAAUUACAUGCCAAGGUUUAUUUCAAACUACCGAAUUUGAGACUUAAUUAUUUUAAGCGCGCUUUUCAUUUCGAGUGCUGAUAAAUUUUGCCUCAACUCGUUCGAUACGGGUUUUAUAGCAUUUACAGACGUCAAUUUCAGCCCUGCACAUUCGUUGUGAACAAAAUUAAAUCUCUCGACUCAAUAAACGUAAGUGUCGCAUAAUCUUAAUCUCAGUCUCUUUUCUUGUUUUUUACUUAGCCUUCUUACUAAUAUCCCUGUAUUUCAUGGUAAUGUUCAUGUACAAAUAAUUGAUUUUUGUUGCUCUUCACAUUUUCAACAUUUUGUAAGACGUCAUGAUGAGUCUUUGAAAAGGAUGAUAAUACAUGUCAGCAAGUUUCCAUGGAAACUCUGUCGUAUGACUUGAUACGCCCCCUUACGUUUUUCAUCGGUCGUUCAAACCCUUGGCACUCCGGAUGUCCUGUUUGUAGAGUUGAGCACUAAAGGAAUUUAAUCUCUCCACCGCCACCGGCAACUCCACCAAGAAAAGGACUUCGACGGAGCAGAAAAUGGCGUUUUUAAAAAAACGUGUUUCUCCAGAGCCACUAUGCCCUUCCACUACGGAGGGUGAAACUGAGUUAUCGGACUCGUUGCCUCUCGACCAGAAAAGCACAGACAACUUUAAUCAUGAUGAGGACAAGGGGACCACUAUCGAUUAUCGUAGCGCUAAGGAAUUUCAAGAGGGACUUGAUGGCAUUCCCGAAGAGGAGGCGCAAAACGAACCCAGUGGUGUGAAUCAAAAUGGGAAAUUAAGCGCUAGAAGCCAUUCUUCAAAACGCAACUCGUGGUCCAACCCUGAGGGAUUUAACUCGUCUGGACGACAUCAUGUUUGUGAUCGAGUGAUUUUGUUGGCUGUGUGUUUCAUUUCCGCAGCGUCACUUUUGCUUACCGUGUUGAUGCUAUUUGGCAUAGUUGCACCUCUGAAUUGCGCCUGCUCUGGAGAAACAGGUAUUUCCAAUUAUCUCCUGUGCAUAACUUUAUUCCAAAAAGAUAGCUAUAGAUUAAAUUUACUAAACGAAAUUUUCCAACUUCUUUUUGCCGAGAAGCCUUAAAUUAUGCCAAUGCAUGUGUUUUCAAAUUUAUUUCAAAUUUCCUUUUGAACAUUUCGACUGCUGCCAUUUCGUGUAUCUACGCAGGGAUGUUGAAGUGAGUGAAAAAAAAAUCCUCGCAUUGUCUUUGUUACUCAUGUUGUUAAAGGAUAAAUGUAUUAGUCGAAAAUCUAAUGCUUUAAAAAUUGCUCUAAAAGGUGUUGAAUCCUAUUGUUGUUUCGAAAUCAAACUUAUUAAGGAUAACGUCAUUUCGCUUAUUUACUCACGAUAGCGAAAGACUAUGGUUUGUUUAACCCGUCGCAGAGUGGUCCACAAUGUUUACAUUAAACUACUCCGAUUUCUCAGGCCCCCAACGCAGAUGUGUUUGUCAUCUGAUGGGCCUAGAAACUCAUGAUCAAAUAAUUGACAACCUUGGAGGGCAAUCGGUACGGAUUAUCUUUGUUUUUAAAUUUCGACCCGACACCUAUUUUUGGACAGUAGCAACAAAAUCACCGGUCCAUAAUGAAAUAGUUGCAAAGCACUUGCUAUUUACUGCUUGACGAUUAUUACAUUCAAGACGUGGACCGAAGGCUUCGUCUAUAAACAAUCAGAAACGUUCGCGCGAACUUUAUUGACUUAUCCAAGUCACGAUCAUUAAAGAAUUUACAUGGAACCUUACACAAGCGUUAUAUAUUUUCUUUAGCAAAUGAAAAUAAAAUAGCAUUUUAAUAACUUCCAAGGUAAAGAAUUGGUCAUCCCAUUUUUGUUGUAACUACUAAACAAAGGAAGCAAAAAUUUCAGAUUUCGAUCAUUUUGGGCCGGGUUUGUUUGCUAGCUAUUCAACUCAAAUCACUUCAUUCCCAACCGACACUGACCUGAUGCGUUACUUGAAUGCACUUUUUUGGAAUUGAGUCUAUAACAUCUGAUAAAAUUGUUAUUUAAGGACUUAAAGUUUUCAGCAAAGGUUAUCAACGGUAAAUAACGCUAUGUUUACUUGACGAAUGAAACUUUCAGUCUUCAGUGUUCUGCUCGUGAGUAAACAAACAGUGUUAAUUGCAUUCUUUAGAUUCUUCGAGUACCACGACAAUGCAUGACUCUUUUUUUCGGUCUUCGAAAACAAUGUUCCUCUGGAAAAUUGCACUCCUUUUAAGAUGAAACGAAAUUUUACGUUACUGUGUGUAAUUUAGUUAAUCAGUCGUACAUAUUGUUGUCACCGAGACGACGUUUAUUGAGUAUUUAAUUAAGUACUUGGACUGAGCAAGUCUGGGGAUCAGUCAGUAGCAAUGGGCCAAAAAACUGAAAGUUGCUGGUUGCGACUAGGUAAAAAGUCAAAGUUUACGGUAAAUAAGGUCAUAGAGAAUUGAAAAAGUAUUAGUACUGCUUUAUUACGGCGGCAAGCUUCUUAACUAAUGAUUCCGGCAGUUUGCGUGCAAACGGGCCGCUAAUACUGUUUACAUUGGUUCAUAGAAUUAUUAAUUUUCCCGAAUUUAAUUAUAGUUUUGCUGAGUCUAAAUGGCAUUUUUUUCCUAGCCAAAGGGCAAGAAUC